This is a long non-coding RNA of Meriones unguiculatus (Mongolian gerbil), 205 nucleotides long. RefSeq lists it as uncharacterized. The transcript is spliced from 3 exons. NCBI's taxonomy places the organism in Eukaryota, Metazoa, Chordata, Mammalia, Rodentia, Muridae. The record is from RefSeq and is a predicted model, not a curated record.
GCAAAGUAUUCUACAUAGCAGAUUGAAUAAUACUGGAAGGAGGAACCAAGCGUGUUGCACCUGCAGCUGAGCAUCUGAAUGCUUCCAGAGGGAAACACCUGAAUGAGCCCAUGCCCACAGACGUACACAGCAUAUCCAAUAUAUGAAGAGAAAAUCAAUCAACAGAAAGUGACCAAGAUCUGACAGAGAAGAUGCAAAUAACAGG